GUACUCUCUUAUUCUUGCCCACUAGAGAAUUCUCACUCACCAAAACUAUCGCUCUUUCCAUCUCCCCUCUAUUCCUUUUUUUUUCUUUCUUCGCCAAUCAGAACAUCAUCCUCCAGAUCAUGCUCCAUAUCAGUUAGCGCUUGAUCUGACAAUAAAUUUUUUCCCUUAUGAUUUUUGAAAUUCUUUCGGCCUUCCAAGCUAAAACCCAAAACUGGGUCAAAAAUAUUUCCUUACCCAGCUAAUUUAUUUUCACCAGUCCACAGAUUGUUCCCAGUCAUCUAAAAACCUUCACUAUCUCCUUUCAGUUUCCCAUCCCUUUCUUCCCUUAACCACACACUAUUAAAUAUUGCAGCCCUCAGUGACUGGGCUCGUAAUGAUAGGUCCUAACCCAUUUUAGCUACUUCCACC
RNAcentral lists this long non-coding RNA (408 nucleotides) under Gossypium raimondii (Peruvian cotton). RNAcentral describes it as "long non-coding RNA (GRAI_LNC006088)". Lineage: Eukaryota; Viridiplantae; Streptophyta; Magnoliopsida; Malvales; Malvaceae. The record is from RNAcentral.